CUGCAGGCUGCAACCCGCCUGCACGAAGUUGGAAUUGCUAGUAAUCGCGGAUCAGCAUGCCGCGGUGAAUACGUUCCCGGGUCUUGUACACACCGCCCGUCACACCAUGGGAGCCGGUAAUACCCGAAGUCAGUAGUUUAACCCUUGUGGAGGACGCUGCCGAAGGUAGGAUUGGCGACUGGGGUGAAGUCGUAACAAGGUAGC
RNAcentral lists this ribosomal RNA (204 nucleotides) under uncultured bacterium. Its description in RNAcentral is "partial 16S ribosomal RNA". It matches the Rfam family "Bacterial small subunit ribosomal RNA", at positions 1298 to 1500 of the family's 1533-position model. The record is from RNAcentral.